GUCUCUCACUGUUCAAAUAAACCUACCAUUCAAAUUAUAGACUGAUCAUUUCUUUGUCAGUGGGCAAACUUACAAAAUCAGCAGGGGAUCAAAUACUUUCUUCCCUCACUGUAAAUGACCAGCCUGGUCAAAUAAUAAUAAUCACAGUAGUUGUCGAGGGUGCAACAAGUCAGCACCUCAAGAGUAAAUGUCAGUUGGCUUUUCAUAGCCCAUCAUUGAGAGUAUCUCUACCACUCCUGCUGUCUCUAAAGAGUUGAAAACAGCAGGUCUGGAACAGGUAGUACAUCCGGUGAACAGGUCAGGGUUCCAUAGCCGCAGGCAGAACAGUUGAAACUGGAGCAGCAGCAUGGCCAGGUGGACUGGGGACAGCAAGGAGUCAUCAUGCCAGGUAGUCCUGAGGCAUGGUCCUAGGGCUCAGGUCCUCCGAGAGAGAGAAAGAAAGAGAGAAUUAGAGAGAGCAUACUUAAAUUCACAUGGGACACCGGAUAAGACAGGAGAAAUACUCCAGAUAUAACAGACUGACCCUAGCCCCCCGACACAUAAACUACUGCAGCAUAAAUACUGGAGACUGAGACAGGAGGGGUCAAGAGACACUGUGGCCCCAUCCGAUGAUACCCCCGGACAGGGCCAAACAGGUAGGAUAUAACCCCACCCACUUUGCCAAAGCACAGCCCCCACACCACUCGAGGGAUAUCUUCAACCACCAACUUUCCAUCCUGAGACAAGGCCGAGUAUAGCCCACAAAGAUCUCCGCCACGGCACAACCCAAGGGGGGGCGCCAACCCAGACAGGAAGACCACGUCAGUGACUCAACCCACUCAAGUGAUGCACCCACCCCUAGGGAUGGCAUUCUAGCUUUAAAGGGGGUUUAGUCAUAUAUUAACAACAUUUCCUAGAUAACAUGUCUGAUAAUUCAAGGUGAUAAAACAACAUGUAAAACACAAACUUUUUAUUUUCCCCCUUCCUUCCCUUUGACAUACUGUACUUUCCUCAUAAAUAAAGCUACAUACUAAUAGAUUUAUACAAAAGAAACAUCCAAAGGUGGUCUUCUCAAUCAUUACCGUUCUUACCCCAAAGAAUAUUGAGUCAUGUAACAAAAACACACAUAGGGACGAAGGGGAGACUGCUUGUAUUCAGUAUGAAGAUUGUCCAUGGACUGCAUAGGAGCCACUGACCUACUGGACAUUUGGGUGACAAAAGACCAAAGGGGGCAUUAUUUACACACUUUCUACAGGUGUAAACAUGGGGCAAAACACAGCAUCAUGGUUUCAUGUCACGCCAAUGAUAAAGCAGUCGUCUGUUGCUGUGGUCAUUGUUCUGCAGGGACAGGGAAGGGGUGUGGUGGGGUAAGUCAGUGUUGGGGAUGGUGGUGAUGGUGAGGCUCAAGGUCUAGUCAGGGUCAGGGUGGCUUUUGCGGUGGUGAGCGGUCAGGUUGUAAUUCUUCUCAAAGCGCCGGCCGCAGACCUCACAAGGGAACUGGUAACCAGUGUUGCCAACAAAGUUUCAGGGGAAGUUGCAAGAGGCAGGUUGAUUUGUUGCUAAAAGUUGCUAAAUAACGUUGUGAUGUCAUUGCGUGAUGACGUCAUUACGUAAUAACGUAAAACUGCGUCAUUACGUAGAAUACACAAUAACGUUCCUCAAACUGACUGGCCAUCUCGGCAAAAAAUAUGAUUUGACAUUUGUUAGUUUAGAUUUGUUUGUUUAUUAUCAUAUAUUUUUAUUUGUAAAAGUAAUAAACACAUUUUAUAUGAUCACAUUUUUAUUUUUAAACACAACACAUUGAAUUAUUG
This 1790-nucleotide long non-coding RNA is filed under the name Salmo salar (Atlantic salmon). Its description in RNAcentral is "lncRNA (ENSSSAG00000083958.1)". Lineage: Eukaryota; Metazoa; Chordata; Actinopteri; Salmoniformes; Salmonidae. The record is from RNAcentral.